This 486-nucleotide ribosomal RNA is filed under the name uncultured bacterium. RNAcentral's name for it is "partial 16S ribosomal RNA". It matches the Rfam family "Bacterial small subunit ribosomal RNA", at positions 30 to 507 of the family's 1533-position model. The record is from RNAcentral.
AUUGAACGCUGGCGACAUGCCUUACACAUGCAAGUCGAACGGCAGCACGGGUGCUUGCACCUGGUGACGAGUGGCGAACGGGUGAGUAAUACAUCGGAACAUGUCCUGUAGUGGGGGAUAGCCCGGCGAAAGCCGGAUUAAUACCGCAUACGAUCUACGGAUGAAAGCGGGGGACCUUCGGGCCUCGCGCUAUAGGGUUGGCCGAUGGCUGAUUAGCUAGUUGGUGGGGUAAAGGCCUACCAAGGCGACGAUCAGUAGCUGGUCUGAGAGGACGACCAGUCACACUGGGACUGAGACACGGCCCAGACUCCUACGGGAGGCAGCAGUGGGGAAUUUUGGACAAUGGGCGAAAGCCUGAUCCAGCAAUGCCGCGUGUGUGAAGAAGGCCUUCGGGUUGUAAAGCACUUUUGUCCGGAAAGAAAUCCUUGGCCCUAAUACGGUCGGGGGAUGACGGUACCGGAAGAAUAAGCACCGGCUAACUACGUG